CCGUGGCCAGGAGGACAAAAUCUAGACGUCAAGUCCCCGUGCGUCAGCUCGGCACCAGGAAGCGAGUCUUGGUCUGCAAGGGGUGGCAAUUCAGCCACUGAAAAUGACUGGGGUUUGUCCAGGCCCCAGGAUCUCCGAGGUCUGACACUGAGGGAAGAGACAGGAUCUGGGACAGACUGCGGUCCCCGAUCCUGGAGCAGACCUCUCUGUGGCCUUGGCAAGAGACAGCUCUGCACUGCAGCUCCAUCUCCUUGCUGGUCACCCACGACGCUGUGCUGGCCACCCAGGGCCACCUGGUGCCUUCCCAAAAAGACUGGUAAACAGUCACCAGAAUCCCGCCUCACAGGGAUGGCUGGCUCCUUUGGAGGGUGAAGAUGGAGGAGAAAUAUGCUCAAGACAGAAGGAAGAUGCAGCACAGACCUCGCUCCCCAGGUGCUGCAAGGAGUAAACACACAGCGGCUCAUGGCCUUGCCAGAGGCCCGGACACUCGCGUUGGGCACAGCCGUUGUCUUCCUCAGUUCUUCUUAGGGAAGUCUUGUGAUUCCUAAGUUCCAAGUCAAAAACUCCACUCCGAGGUAGGAGGAAAAGAAAUAUACAAAUAUCCACCUCUGUCUGGGCAGGCCCAGCCUUUUGAUAAACAAAAUUUGUUCUGCCUGUGUUUCUGUGUGCAAGACGGGGACACGAGGCUCAGUGCAACCAACAAGGAAAGCCAUCAGCGUGCCAGGAGUGGCCUUCGUGGGAAUCAGUCCCCAUUCAAAGGCCAGCCAUGCAGAACACGCACUGGCUCUGUGGCAGACUGAGGAGGGAAGGACAACUUGGUUGGACGGGAGGCCAUGUUGGAACUGUCGCUUUGCUGGCCUUCCUUCCUGUCCAGGGCCAGGAACUGGGCCCAGCAGGUUUGUCGAGACAGAGACUUGGAGCCUUGAAACCCAGGAAUUCUCUGGGGAUCAUGAGCUGAAGCAGAGCAUAACCUCAGGAGGCCAAGCAGGAUGCCCACUCGACCCUGGGCUGACCAUCUCAGGUAGCAGGACUAGGAGUCAAGGGUCUCAGGGCCUGGCAGGGCCACACGGACUGGGAGCUGAUGGUUGAAAGGCAAGGAGACACAGCCGAGGGGACCCAUUUCCCAGAGCGGAGGGACCAUGGAGCAGAGGAAGGCAGGUAGAUCAGCGCAGCUCCACACAGCUCAGCGUCAGGCACAAACCCAAAGGGCAGAUGUCAGCUUCCAAGCGGGAGCAGGGAAGGGUACCUCUCAGAAACAUUUCCUAAUCCAUGAAAAGUGUGAUGGAGCAAGAGAGAAAUGAGAAUGAAAGACAGGGCAGCACCAGGAAGGCCCAGAGCCCUGGGUGAGAAACGAGGCGUUGUAACUGCAGUGGGGCCUGGGCAGCGAUGUCUGGGGGCCUGGCCAGGCAGGGAGGCUUGGGGGCUGAUGGGCACUAGGUUCCCCUAGGAGGACCCCAGCCAGCAUCACCCACCUCCAGAGGCAGAAGGCCACUGGUUCAACUCCACGAGCCACCUGCUGCAGCCCGAUUAGGCCUAUGUCAGGGACUCGGGCUCCUACUCACACCAUCCAACUCUUACCUGCAUCUGCCUGUACAGAGCAGGGCCUUCACAAACACUGACUAAUGAAUGAGGGGACAGCUAUCUCCUUAUAGCUGCCACCUAUGGAAUCUCACUUUACCCCAAGGAGAUCACACAAAAUAAGACAUGAGGUGACAUAUUAUGCAUACUAUUCUCAGUAAUAUGAUAUAUGAAAUGAUAUAAUAUAUGAUGUGAUGUACUACACAAUACAAUGUGUGAUAUAAUGUGAUAUAUGAUGUGAUAUAUAUGAUGUGAUAUAUACAAUGUGAAGUGAUACGACAUAUGAUACAUGAUAUGAUGUGAUAGAUGACUGAUGUGAUAUUUUAUGUGAUAUAUGAUAAUAUAUAUAUGUGUGAUACAGUACAUUAUAUAUGAUGUGAUAUAUGAUAUGUCAUGCUGUGUGAAAUGGUACAGCAUAUAUAUGAUAUGACAUGAUAUAAUGUAAGAUAUAUAAUGUGAUAUAUGAUAUGCUAUGCUAUGAUUGAUAUGUGAUAUAAUACUGUAUGAUAUAUACUGUGAUAUAUAGCAUGAUAUGAUGUGAAGUGAUAGAGCAUACAUGUGAUAAAUGAUGUGAUGUGCUAUGAUAUGAUGUAUGAUGUGAUAGAUGACAUGAUGUGAUAGAUGACAUGAUGUUAUAUAUGACACCCUUUCAGAGAACAGAAGACGUCAUUGAGUUUCUAUCCAAGUCAUUUCCCGCCAGGCAUCUUUCCUUCCUCCUUGGUUCUGACCAACCUCUCCUCCAAUCCGCUUCUUUAUCUAGAGCAGAGGCUCUCGUGUUUGGCUGCACAUUGAAAUCACUUGGGAGGCUUUUCCACCCUCCAAUACUAGACCACAGCCCAGACCAGCUGUGCGGGCUCUCAGGGCAGAGCAGGCAUCGGGGAUUUGAUUCUCCCGGGCGAGCCAACAAGCAGCACACUGGAGAACCACUGCACCACAGGGCUCCGCUUCGCUCACAGCUCCCUGGGAAGCAGGGUACCAGGCUGAGUGUGCUGGGGAGGUGUUGCCUCCCUCCUCCUGAACGCCCUGCUUCUACACACAGUCUGCAGGCGCGUGGUUUCCUGUGGUCCACCUCACACGGAUGGCGCAGUAAGCCUGCUGUUUAUCCCCACCUCUAAAGCCUCUCUGUUUAGAUAUUCUCUCUGUGCAUUCUAUCGCCACAUCUUCCUCAUAGGAUUUUUGUGCUGUUACUUCUCUGCUCCCAGGUGUGGAAGUAACAGCUACACCUGUUAGCCCAAUCUCGCUGGACAAUCCCCAUCUCCACACUGCUGAGGGCUUGGAAUGUGGAUCUAUGCUCCCUCCAUCACUCAACCUCCCAGCUCCACACCUUCACUAACUAGGCGGAGGCCCCUCAAUUCCUCAUCCCAGUUACUGACAAGGUCCGUGAAGAGACAAGGCUGGCCAAGACACAGGCAGGCCAGGCCCACAAUGUUCCAGGAUACUCACCUGCUCCACCCAACCCUCUCUCCACAGACAGCACCUGAGACCUGGCCACCUGCCCACAAGAAGACAGCACAUGCGGCUCCUUUUCAAGUGGACUUCUGCUGGAUUUGAGCCGAGCUUUCCCCAGUUGGCUCCCUGAAAGUCUUAUCUGGCUAGGCUAUCAAGGUAGUGUCCUUUUGCAUGACGAAUGCAGACCUGAUGACACCUGGGGUUACAUGCCGAAGAAACGCAUUCCAACAACAUCCAAGGAGGGAUCACGGAGGCACAGCGCCACGGAGCAGGUGGCACCUCCUCCACCCAGCACCUCACCACGUGGCAUCAGUUCUCUGCAGCCAUGGAACGAGUGGCCCACCUCGGACACACUGACGGGGACAAGGCAGGCCUGCGUGGGGCCCAUCUGAGGUGAAAAGUGGUGACUGUCCACGACUGAUGUGGAUGAGGUCCCUGAGGCACUCACGUGAUGGUGUCGAUCAUGUCCAGGCCCAUCUCCACACAGCAAUGGGCGUGGUCAGUCUUGGGCUGGGUGAGGCCAGACACGCAGUAGUAACAGUCUCCGAGGAUCUUGAUGCGGCGGCAGUGGUUCUCCUUCAGGGUGAGAGGACAAAGCACACGUUAGUGAUGCACCUCAGGCCGGGUACCUGCACUUUCGCCACCACUAGAUGCCAGUGACCACGGAGCAGGUGCACAUCUCACACCAGGGGCCCACACCCUGACCCAGGGCGGCCCCCUGGUUGUGAUCUGGAUUGCCCUGGGGCAUCCACACUUCCCCUACGCUGCACGCCUACUCCAGCAGGAGUCUACUCCCCCCACCCCUCAGCUCACCCGGCCAACCCACGACCCUUCAAGGUCAGGAAGCUGCUCAAGGCUGGGGAGCCAGGUCCUCUCCUGAGGAGGGCUAGCACCAGGCCCUCUUGACCACCAUCGCAGAUCACCAUGUGCUGGCCCUUCUGGAAAGUGCUAGACUCCCACAGUGCCCAGGAAGGCAGGUCACACACACCUGAGCAUCUCCAUGGCUUUCUGCCCUGAGUCAAGGUCCACAGGACGUGGGAGCGGCUGUCCCCAAAGAGCUACCUGCUGGGGCCUGAGCCCCCGAGGGAACUGCCAAGGUCUCAGCCCUGACCUCGCCGCCCACAGAGACACCUCGGAAGGCAUCCAACACCACAGAAUGUCCACCCUCACAUUUAUACAACGAUCAGAAUGUCAGCACCCACCUCGCCAUCAUUUUGGGGGAUGGAGAGAGAAAUGUCCAACGCUUACCACCACCUGUCAUGUGCCAACCCACCCAUGUCAGCUGUGAUCAGGACUGUCACUGCAGUUUUAUUCCACGGAAGGCAUUAAAGCAGCAGUUCUAGAACAUUCCAUCUUCAGCACCCCUUUACCCUCCUAAAACAACUGAGGACCUCACAAAAAACUCCCCUGUAAGUGGGUAUAGCCACAGAUAUUUACCACACAGGAAGCUACAACUGAGAAACUCUAAAAUGUAUUAAUGUAUUCAAACAUAACAAUAGCAAAUCUGUUACAUGUUAACAUAAGUAACAUAUUUCAUGAAAAAUUAUGACAUUUUCCAAAACAGAAACAAAUGGUGAGAAGCCUCGCAUUGUUCUCACUUUUGUGGAGACGCUGGACUCUUUGCUCUCAUUCCCUCCGUCGUGCCUUCUGCGUGCACCCCGUCUGUGAAGGGGUCGGCCUCACAGCACAUACCGGGAUGAGGGCCUCACAAACCCUGAGAGUCUCGUAAAGCCCAGAGCUCCGCGGACCCCGCUCUGAGAACACAUCCUAUAACUUACAGUUAAUUCUGCUCUCCUGUUUCUUAGAAAUGAGCUGAUUCUGCCAAUUUUAGGAAUGGAAUGAGUUAGUGCAAGUGCAUUUGGGAUGAGAGCUCUCUGCUCGCUUUCCACGCCCACAAGGCUCUCUGCAGGAGCUGAGGGCAGGGGAGGAGCCAGGGCCAGCAACGGGCUGCUCUUCAGCGAGAUGGCCCAGCGCACUGCCCCGCCUCCGAGAAGAGGGCACCCUCCACACAGAGGGCUCGGGGCCCAGCUCCUCCCAGCCCUGGGCCUCCCUCAGUGUGGAGAUGCCGGGGACACACAGAUGAAGGGGAGGAGGUAAGCAGAGGCUUCCACCUGUCGGAGCCCCCUCAGAAAGCCCAGGGACCUGGUCUGCUCCAUGCAGAAUCCCACAGGCUCCCCCUGUGCACAGGGAGCUGGCAGCACGGAGGUCCACUGUCUGGCCACUCAGCCUCCGAGUGACAAAAGUAACCACUUAACCGUUAGGACACUGGCCUCCCUGUCUGUGGAAGAGGUUCUCUCAGGCAGGCUGUGCAGGGGUUGACCUGGCCUGUGAUGGAGUCUGGGAGCCCAGAGCCAGGCAGCCGGGUGCAGGUGUUCCCCCUGUGGAGCUGAGGUCCAGGCCAUGCUUAUCCAAGCAUCCAGGCCAGCAGGCAACACCAGGUUCUCUCCUGGCACCUCGAGAAUGCCCAUCCCCCCGUCCCUAUCAUCAUUGUCCUGUGGCAGGGGUGCCCUCAGUCCCCAACAGUCAGAAGCAGGUCCAGACACUCCGUGCAGGCCAGGAGGGCAGCUCUUCCCUCAUCCUAUCUUCUACUUCAUACUCAGGCCGCCUUCACCAGACCCACAGGCCCAGGGACGAGAUAAGAGACCAUUGCCGGGUGUUGCCCCCUCCCUCCCAUCUCCUCCCUGGGCACAGAGACCGUCUGCGGAGAGCUCCUGACUGUGAUGGUCUGACUCCUCAGGCUCUUCUCUCAGCAGCCCAUCUGGGGCUUCCAGACCUCUCCCUCCGAGGAGCCCAUGGCAGUGACAGCACCUACUGGCAUGCAAGCACUAUUCUUGCAGACAAUUUCGAGAGGGUCACGAAGCCCAAUUCUGGGGACUUCAAAGGUGGCAUGUGUCUCUGCCCAUCAGCAUCUCCUUGGGGCAUGAGCCUAGGCAACUGUAAGCUUCCCUAUGCACCCCAGCUGGCUUUGUCAUGUUCCUGGCUGUCUCCAGGACUCAUAACCCAAGGCCUCCUGUUCAUCUCUGUGUGGCCCUGACAAGCCCCUCCCUGGGAUGAGCAGGUGUUUGGUACGAGGCCCCUGAACGGCAGCAGGUGUGUAUGUGAAUGACGGGCAGCUUGUAAGAAACAGUAUUGCCAUCAGAUUCAAAGGUGGAUCCGGGGCCGUGAGGGGCACUGCCCCAAAGAGCCACCCUCCAUGACACAGAGACUAGGGGUGGGGCUGCCCCAGAAAAGGGGCGGGAGGGUGGGAUCGCCGAUGACAGGCUCCGCAGGACAGGUGCUGCUGGAAGAAGGAGGUGUAAACAGAGAGCCGUGAUGAAGGCAGGUGGACCCCCCGGGAGCUUCAGGUGUGACCGUCUCUGAGGAAUGACCCAAGGCAAAGGCACCAGCAGGCACUCUCCAGUAGCCGCGGGAGCCCGGCCGGCCUCACAGGUAGACAAGGUCCGCCGGCUUCCGUGAGUUUCGGAAAGAACAGCCAUCCUCAGCAGGACCCGUCAGCACACACGCAUCUGGGUGCAUAACUACAGCCCACUGGCCACAGAUGUGUCCUUGCCAACUGUCCUGAGAUGCAAAGCCAUGUCCCUCCCUGGCCGGAUGCACCACAGGGUGGCCAACACUGCCCAGAACAAAUCAUGGACUUAAAAUGCUGACGCAUCGUCCUGUUUUUUAAAAUCUCAAAUGUCCUGGCUUUUGUUAGCAAGCUUAAGAGACCAAAAAGGUGUUUUUCAUUGGUUCUGGUGUUUUUGAUUUCAAAAUCAUCCCUAUAAAUACGGAAAGCCAGCACCUAGAGCUCCCCUUAGGGGAGCGCCUGUGAUGCGUGAACAGCUGUUUCCCAGCCAAAGAAAGGGAGGAAAAGGAGGACAGGAGUUGAAGGGGCUCACUGGAAAGGACGAGAGUGGCAGGACAUGAGGACAGAAGCCCCUCAGAGCCCCAGGGGGCUUGGGAGGAUCCAGCUAGGAGGGAGGGUCUCAUACUUCGUCCCAGGCUGUGAUCUGCAGGCUCGCAGAUGAACUCUGGACACAGCUGGCCCUGCCUGUGUGCGCAGCCACGGGCAGGGCCUCGGACAGCAGAGACCCACUUGCUCUGGCAUGCUGCAACCCUGCCCGCCCAGACCCCUCAGGCUGAGGAAGAAGCAGAGAAUUCAGCGGCAUCAGGAAGCCCCACUGCGAUUCCAGAACCCGAAGACGCCCAAGCCUCCCUGAGAUCAGCUCUGAAACGGUGGGGUCCAGCGAGCCCCGAGGUAGACACGUGGACCUGGACUCGGGGAAAGCAGGUCAGCUUCCGGGACCUGGGGCACCCCCGGGGGAAGGGCGGGUGCAGAGGGAGAGCUAGAAAUGAUCCUCUUUAUGCCCAGAGUGGCUGCAUCCAAAACCCAACUGGCCAAGUCAUAUUAACUUUGUAAGAUUAAGUGUGGGGCUAUCAAUGGAAAAAUGGAAUCAGAAAUUUUAGAAAGUUAUAUUUCUAAGCAGCUGUCUUGACUAUUAUGACAUACGUGUUUAACCUGCUGCGUCCACACAAAAUUGAAAAGCAACACACUGAAAUAUAAGCCGUGGCUAUCGCUGGAAGGUAGGAGAAAUAAUCAUUUUGACUUGAAUUUUCAUAAGUCAUUCCUGCACAGUUCCUUUUACUGAGCCCCAUAUGUGCCAGCCCCUGCACUUGUGGAGCUGCCUGCCCUUGGGGAGGGACAGCACAGAAGCAGCAAAGCCAGAACCCAAGAAGCCUGCAGACGUCUGUCCUGCAGCGGGGACUGUGGGAUCAACCCAGUACUGGAAGUCUCUCCAGCCUCAAUAGGCCCAAGAGAAGUCAACGUGCCCUGUCGGGGCACACUCUAGAAGUAAACAGUCACGCGUAGUACACAUUUGCUCCUGGUACCCAAAGGGAACAACGAAGAGGCAACCCCAACCCGAGCACGGAUACCCAACGCAUGGGCGGGGGGCGACGGUGGGAAGGGAGCCCUCUCCCGAAGUAGCUUGUCUUAGAGCCUGCACUGAGGGCUGGAGCCAUGCAAACACCUUAUGUACUUAAAGAGAAAAAUUAAAUGGAAAACAGUGAUGCCUAAAAAUCAAAACUAAAAUGAAAUAAACCUAACUGUGACCACGUUGGCAGCAUGACCACACAGAGGAGAAUUAUUCCAAGUGACAUGAAAAUACAUCUUGACCAUCUAUCUAGUGGCAUAUAAUCCAAAGACAAAAUAAUCAAAGAAACAACUAGAGGAAUCUUAAAUUACACUCAGUGGUCUGUUAGGACGUUGUCAACGUUAUUUUGAACCCACUGUAUAUAAAAGGAUGAAACAAACUGUAUUACUGUUUUUAGGAUUUCCAGCAUCAAGGAAAAGAGACACAAAUAUAAAAAUCAAAGGAGUGAACUUAAGAAAAUUGGAAAUAAGAAUUUGUUUUUAUUUUUCUAAAAAAAUCUCUCAUCUCUGUCUCCUGUAAAGUCUCAGGACCAAUGACAACCAAGAUGAUGGGCUGGAGAAACCAUUUCCCCCAAAAGAAACUAGAGCUUCUAGAAAAUGCCGAGUCUGUGGGUGAGGCAGCAACAUCCUGCUGCCCCUAAGAGGCACUCAGAGGUGACGCGCCGUGUCAACAGGGCAGGAAGCAACCUCAUAGGUCACCCCUUUGGAGUGACUAAGGCACCAAUUACUUAUUCUGAAAACCGUCAAACAAAUGAAAAGCAUCAAGCAUUUACUGUUUUUGAGGAUAACCAAAGAGCUGAUGAGUAAAUCAUCUUCUUUUUAGAAGAACCACAAGCUAAUAAAUGCAGAAGAAAUGACAGAAUCAGAAAACCACCAUUGUGCAAACCCAAGUGAAAUGCCAAUGGGCUAGGCCUCGAGGCAGCCACUGUGAGACCCUUGGCGUGAUGUCUGGGAAGGGGUAGCGGGCGGGUCAUGCUGCCAGCAUGAGAACCCCCAAUCCGAGCAACCUGGCGGGAGGCCGGCAAGUGGCCAUGCAUGGCUCCAGGGAAGGGUCGGCAAUACAAACGAACAAACUGGAGACCUAAGUCAGGUCUCCAAGGUCUGCGGGUUCAGGGGAGGUGCAGGGGUGGGAGGAGCACAUGGUACAGCCACUGUCACUGUCAGGGUAAGCCGCCACAAAGGGCAGGGGCGCUGAAAAAGAUUAUACAGAAAAAAACAAAAACAAGAAAUAUGUCAUAUAUCUGCUGAGUGCAACGUGUGCAUUCAUCCUGUUUUCUGUUUUUUGUAUUCUAUGAUGGUUUGACACCUUGGGGGCCUCCCAGGGUUGGCUAAUUCCUGGGGACAGUAAACAGCUCGUUCUUAUUCCCACGAGCUGAUCCAGAGUCCACACCCCUCCACCUCCACUAUCUGACUCUGACACUCCGACCACUACCCCCCUGCCCAUCACCAGGCAGGGGCCAGACAACAGGGGACACCCCACAGCCCAGAGCCCCCAUUACCCAGACUGGCCAGUCCUGUGCCUGCCUCGACCCUUCCUUCUCAUGGGAAACCCCAACAGAGCCAGCCACGCUCCCCACCCCCUCUGCCCCUGCGCCUGGUGCUCCCUGCAGCCCUGCUGGCCCCCUCCUCUCAGAGACCGUGAAUGAUAAAGCUUGUCAAUGGCACUAGCCUCUGGGUCAUCACUCAGUCCCUCUAUAAACUAAAAUCCACAGGUACAAUCCAGACAAGUGCCCGCCUCACUGCUAUCCUGACUGGAACAAACUAGCUGUGGUAAAGAGACUCAUGAGACAAGCAGGGUGGCCGAGCCCAGAGCAGGAGUUAGAAACACUCCCCUGUGAUCAGGUUGGUGGGUGUGACAGAGGCGUCAGGUGGAGCUAGCUGGAAGGUGUGCAAUGAAAGAGCUCCUCUCCAAGGGUGUAAGGACUCGGUGCAGUGACCUCUAGGAUCGGGGGAGGAGCGUGCGCAGACCACACAGGACUGGCUGAUCGUUAGCUACUGUUGAGCGUGGUUUGGGGGUGCCUGGGGGGUGUUAUGUUACUGUCUCUACCUUUGUGCACCUGUGAAAUUUUCAUAAAACGAGUUCUAAAACCCUCAA
This is a long non-coding RNA of Equus quagga, 10034 nucleotides long. RefSeq lists it as uncharacterized. The transcript is spliced from 2 exons. NCBI's taxonomy places the organism in Eukaryota, Metazoa, Chordata, Mammalia, Perissodactyla, Equidae. The record is from RefSeq and is a predicted model, not a curated record.